GACCGGCUGCUGGUUUAGAAUAACCUGAAGCUCGGAGGUUCGGCCCAUUCGCAAGUUCGAUCCCGAGUUGUUCGUGUUCAUCUUCCUUUCGCCUCUCUCGGGGAAACCGUUUCGAAAGCUUCGAGAAACCGACGUGAAACUUUCAUUCCAUGAUGGAAGUCGCUAAAGCAAACGAGUCCGCCGACAGCCUAGUCGAGCAGUCGCUGAACGUAACGGCCGAGUCAACGUCCGUAGCCACGAUGAAGUCUGUGCAGAGCGUGCAGACGAAGUCCGUGAUCGAGUCCUCGACGUCCAUAAAGUCCGUGAAAUCGUCUUCGACCAGGUCGCAUCAAUCGAUGGAGUACGAGGAGACGGUCGAGUACAGCGAUUAAGCAACAAAGCAUCACCAUUCAGCAAAGAAACCCCAUUCGACGUCGUUCCACGCAGGAGAGAACCGGGCGCGGUAUUUUCGAUUCGGCUCCAACGUGGAUCUCCGCUUCACCGUUUCCCCACCCAAAAAUUCGUUCGCGUCCACAGGAUUCGAGACGGAGCACGGCUGGAACGGUUCAGAGAAUUUCUAUCGCGUUCCCGUGAACCACGCGAGGCCGAUGUUUUGAUCCGGUCCCAUGAAACCACGGACUGUCCUUCUCUUAUUCGCUGUAUUCCCAUUCGAAGCGAGCCAGGAGAGGAACGUGCGUACCCUACGAAUGAAGUACACUGACGCUGCAGUUAAGGGAUGCAGCUGGGACCAGAUGAAAGAGAGCACACACGAGGGUCGAGUCGGGUCGGGUCGAACGACCGAUCGACGACGGGUCAAGGCGUCCAUUAAUCGGGCUACGGUACGGAAAUAGCGGGUCGCCGCGAUGCGUGAUAAUGAAAAGAAGAAGAAGGAAACCGAAGAAAUGUUUUGGAAGCCUCGGCCGGCGAGCUGGCUCUCCUCCAAUCGGCGUGGUUCACCGCCAAAUACCAACUCGAGUUUUCUUCCCAGGACACCACUUCACUCCUCUGCCUCUCUCAGUCGUCUGUUCGAUCCUCUUUUGAAUAACCCACUCCGUCAUUGUCACGUCAUGAUCCCAGACUUCAACUGCGACCGUUCCAUAAUCUUUGUAUAAUAAAGUUUCUAAGAUAUUGGUUCUCUUA
This is a long non-coding RNA of Nomia melanderi (Alkali bee), 1119 nucleotides long. RefSeq lists it as uncharacterized. Lineage: Eukaryota; Metazoa; Arthropoda; Insecta; Hymenoptera; Halictidae. The record is from RefSeq and is a predicted model, not a curated record.